This 257-nucleotide ribosomal RNA is filed under the name uncultured bacterium. RNAcentral describes it as "partial 16S ribosomal RNA". It matches the Rfam family "Bacterial small subunit ribosomal RNA", at positions 524 to 776 of the family's 1533-position model. The record is from RNAcentral.
UACGUAGGGUGCAAGCGUUGUCCGGAAUUAUUGGGCGUAAAGAGCUCGUAGGCGGUCUGUCGCGUCGGCUGUGAAAAACUCGGGGGCUCAACUCCGAGCUUGCAGUCGAUACGGGCAGGCUAGAGUUCGGCAGGGGAGACUGGAAUUCCUGGUGUAGCGGGUGAAAAUGCGCAGAUAUCAGGAGGAACACCGGUGGCGAAGGCGGGUCUCUGGGCCGAUACUGACGCUGAGGAGCGAAAGCGUGGGGAGCAAACGGG